Molecule: long non-coding RNA, 789 nt
Organism: Dreissena polymorpha
Lineage: Eukaryota; Metazoa; Mollusca; Bivalvia; Myida; Dreissenidae
Exons: 3
Source: RefSeq, a predicted model, not a curated record
GUCAGUCUGCUACAGCAGCACCACAUCCUCCAUCAUUGUGGGACAGUGGAGGAACGACAACAUCCUGGUGUUCAGAGUGGAAUAGUGUGUACAUUUGCUGCUGGGUCGAGACAACGAUGUUGAGGAUGUGGGGGACAAGCAUGAAGCAGAAGGAGAGCACCAGCAUUGAUAUCGAGUUGGCCAAGCAACAGCACAAGUCCGGCCUGCAGGAGCCCCAAUACAGAACCAUCCUUUCCCUCCCCUGAUCCCUAGCUCCUCCCACUUGACCUCUGGCCACAAAGGGUCAGCAUCGUUACACAAGUCUGUUCUGCAAUAAAUCCUCAGCACGUCAAGUUUUCUCGCGCUGUUAUGAACAACCAAAAUGUCCGCGUCGAGAUUUCCCCAAGCAAGCCCGAGUAGUUUUGUUUAGCUCUAGUGCCCGAGUGGGAUGAGUGUUACAGAAGCGAGACGCUAUAGCAGUACAUAUGGUAGUGCAAACAGUUAACGCAAACAGUUAGUUCUCGCUGUGGACAUCAUGAAGAAUCUCACAAAGAAUUAAACGUUGAAUAAUUUGUUUCAUUCUUUAUAAGACACAGGGUUUGCACAGGGCUUGAAAAGUGCUUGAAAACGAGUCCUAGGCUUGAAAAGCCCUUGAACAAAGGUUGGCCUUAAAACAGUGCUUGAAAAGUGCUUAGUUCAUGUAAAAAAGCCUUGAAAAUGUUUAUUUCUGCUCAAAAUUACUUUUAUCAUGGCUUUAAUUACAAACUUAAAUCGUUCUUAUGGGAAAUAUUACGAAAAUGUAUCAUAGGU